RNAcentral lists this ribosomal RNA (429 nucleotides) under Chloroflexota bacterium. RNAcentral's name for it is "Chloroflexi bacterium partial 16S ribosomal RNA". It matches the Rfam family "Bacterial small subunit ribosomal RNA", at positions 355 to 776 of the family's 1533-position model. Lineage: Bacteria; Bacillati; Chloroflexota. The record is from RNAcentral.
UGGGGAAUAUUGCACAAUGGGCGCAAGCCUGAUGCAGCCAUGCCGCGUGUAUGAAGAAGGCCUUCGGGUUGUAAAGUACUUUCAGUCGGGAGGAAGGUGUCAAGGUUAAUAACCUUGGCAAUUGACGUUACCGACAGAAGAAGCACCGGCUAACUCCGUGCCAGCAGCCGCGGUAAUACGGAGGGUGCAAGCGUUAAUCGGAAUUACUGGGCGUAAAGCGCACGCAGGCGGUUGAUUGAGUCAGAUGUGAAAUCCCCGGGCUUAACCCAGGAAUUGCAUCUGAUACUGGUCAGCUAGAGUCUUGUAGAGGGGGGUAGAAUUCCAUGUGUAGCGGUGAAAUGCGUAGAGAUGUGGAGGAAUACCGGUGGCGAAGGCGGCCCCCUGGACAAAGACUGACGCUCAGGUGCGAAAGCGUGGGGAGCAAACAGG